AACGAACGCUGGCGGCAUGGCUAAGACAUGCAAGUCGAACGGACUAUUUUGAAGAGUAAUCGGAUUAAUAGUUAGUGGCGAAAGGGUGAGGAAUAGAUAGGUAACGUACCCCAAACUUUGGAAUAGCGUCUGGAUGCUUGCAUCCUUCCGAAAGGGGCAGUAAUACCGAAUGAUAUCAUAAAUCGUAAGAUUGAUGGUCAAAGAUUUAUCGGUUUGGGAGCGGCCUAUCUCCUAUCAGCUUGUUGGUGAGGUAACGGCUCACCAAGGCAACGACGGGUAGCGGGACUGAGAGGUUGGCCCGCCACACUGGGGCUGAGACACUGCCCAGACCCCCACGGGGGGCUGCAGUAACGAAUAUUGCACAAUGGACGAAAGUCUGAUGCAGCAAUGCCGCGUGUAGGAUGAAGCUUUUCGGAGUGUAAACUACUGUCAGGGGUUAGAAAGUCUUCGGAUUGAUCAGCCCCAGAGGAAGUCACGCUAACUU
This 484-nucleotide ribosomal RNA is filed under the name uncultured bacterium. RNAcentral's name for it is "bacterial SSU rRNA". It matches the Rfam family "Bacterial small subunit ribosomal RNA", at positions 29 to 503 of the family's 1533-position model. The record is from RNAcentral.